AUGCAGUCGAGCGAGGCGGGUAGCAAUACCCAGUCGAGCGGCGGACGGGUGAGUAACGCGUGGAUAAUCUACCUUUUGGUGGGGGAUAACCCGGGGAAACUCGAGCUAAUACCGCAUGAGAUCGAAAGAUGAAAGGGGCGCAAGUCCCGCCGGAAGAGGAGUCCGCGUCCGAUUAGCUAGUUGGUAGGGUAAUGGCCUACCAAGGCGACGAUCGGUAGCCGGCCUGAGAGGGUGAUCGGCCACACUGGAACUGAGACACGGUCCAGACUCCUACGGGAGGCAGCAGUGGGGAAUUUUGCGCAAUGGGCGAAAGCCUGACGCAGCAACGCCGCGUGGAGGAUGAAGGUCUUUGGAUUGUAAACUCCUGUCAGCAGGGAAGAAGGCCUCGGCGAAGAGCCGAGGAUUGACGGUACCUGCAGAGGAAGCCCCGGCUAACUCUGUGCCAGCAGCCGCGGUAAUACAGAGGGGGCAAGCGUUAUUCGGAAUUAUUGGGCGUAAAGGGCGCGUAGGCGGCCGUGCAAGUGGAAGGUGAAAUCCCUCGGCUCAACCGAGGAACUGCCUUUCAAACUGCUCGGCUUGAGUCCGGGAGAGGUGAGUGGAAUUCCCAGUGUAGCGGUGAAAUGCGUAGAUAUUGGGAGGAACACCAGUGGCGAAGGCGGCUCACUGGACCGGAACUGACGCUGAGGCGCGAAAGCGUGGGGAGCAAACGGGAUUAGAUACCCCGGUAGUCCACGCCGUAAACGAUGAGUGCUUGGUGUAGCGGGUAUCGACCCCUGCUGUGCCGAAGUCAACACAUUAAGCACUCCGCCUGGGGAGUACGGUCGCAAGGCUGAAACUCAAAGGAAUU
RNAcentral lists this ribosomal RNA (847 nucleotides) under uncultured Bacillota bacterium. Its description in RNAcentral is "bacterial SSU rRNA". It matches the Rfam family "Bacterial small subunit ribosomal RNA", at positions 55 to 911 of the family's 1533-position model. Lineage: Bacteria; Bacillati; Bacillota. The record is from RNAcentral.